This 72-nucleotide transfer RNA is filed under the name Marmota monax (woodchuck). RNAcentral's name for it is "tRNA.Undet". The record is from RNAcentral. Lineage: Eukaryota; Metazoa; Chordata; Mammalia; Rodentia; Sciuridae.
GGUGUGUGUAGCUCAGUGGCAGAGUGCGUGCCCGUGUGGGCAAGGCCUUGGGUUCGAUCCCCAGCACCAUCA